UACGGGGGGGGCAAGCGUUGUUCGGAAUUACUGGGCGUAAAGGGCUCGUAGGUGGCCAACCCAGUCAGACGUGAAAUCCCUGGGCUCAACCCAGGAACUGCGUCCGAUACUGGUUGGCUUGAAUCCGGGAGAGGGAUGCGGAAUUCCAGGUGUAGCGGUGAAAUGCGUAGAUAUCUGGAGGAACACCGGUGGCGAAGGCGGCAUCCUGGACCGGCAUUGACGCUGAGGCGCGAAAGCCAGGGGAGCAAACGGG
This 253-nucleotide ribosomal RNA is filed under the name uncultured bacterium. RNAcentral's name for it is "partial 16S ribosomal RNA". It matches the Rfam family "Bacterial small subunit ribosomal RNA", at positions 524 to 776 of the family's 1533-position model. The record is from RNAcentral.